Molecule: ribosomal RNA, 449 nt
Filed under: uncultured bacterium
Lineage: Bacteria
Description: partial 16S ribosomal RNA
Rfam family: Bacterial small subunit ribosomal RNA
Source: RNAcentral
AUUGAACGCUGGCGGCAGGCUUAACACAUGCAAGUCGAACGAGAUCUUCGGAUCUAGUGGCAGACGGGUGAGGAACACGUGGGAACAUCCCUUUCAGUUCGGAAUAACGUUGGGAAACUAACGCUAAUACCGGAUACGUCCUUCGGGAGAAAGAUUUAUCGCUGAAAGAUUGGCCUGCGUCUGAUUAGCUAGUUGGUGAGGUAACGGCUCACCAAGGCUACGAUCAGUAGCUGAUCUGAGAGGAUGAUCAGCCACAUUGGGACUGAGACACGGCCCAAACUCCUACGGGAGGCAGCAGUGGGGAAUAUUGGACAAUGGGCGCAAGCCUGAUCUAGCCAUGCCGCGUGAGUGAUGACGGCCUUCGGGUUGUAAAGCUCUUUUGUCCGGGAAGAUAAUGACUGUACCGGAAGAAUAUGCCCCGGCAAACUUCGUGCCAGCCGCCGCGGUAA